This 497-nucleotide ribosomal RNA is filed under the name uncultured bacterium. RNAcentral describes it as "partial 16S ribosomal RNA". It matches the Rfam family "Bacterial small subunit ribosomal RNA", at positions 28 to 507 of the family's 1533-position model. The record is from RNAcentral.
GAUGAACGCUGGCGGCGUGCCUAAUACAUGCAAGUCGAGCGAACAGACGAGGAGCUUGCUCCUCUGACGUUAGCGGCGGACGGGUGAGUAACACGUGUAUAACCUACCUAUAAGACUGGGAUAACUUCGGGAAACCGGAGCUAAUACCGGAUAAUAUAUUGAACCGCAUGGUUCAAUAGUUAAAGACGGUUUUGCUGUCUCUUAUAGAUGGAUCCGCGCCGCAUUAGCUAGUUGGUAAGGUAACGGCUUACCAAGGCAACGAUGCGUAGCCGACAUGAGAGGGUGAUCGGCCACACUGGAACUGAGAAACGGUCCAGACACCUACGGGAGGCAGCAGUAGGGAAUAUUCCGCAAUGGGCGAAAGCAUGACGGAGCAACGCCGCGUGAGUGAUGAAGGUCUUCGGAUCGUAAAACUCUGUUAUUAGGGAAGAAAAAAUGUGUAAGUAAAUAUGCACGUAUUGACGGUAACUAAUCAGAAAGCCACGGCUAACUACGUG